This 402-nucleotide RNase P RNA is filed under the name Alcaligenaceae bacterium CGII-47. RNAcentral describes it as "RNase P RNA component class A". It matches the Rfam family "Bacterial RNase P class A". Rfam says of the family: Ribonuclease P (RNase P) is a ubiquitous endoribonuclease, found in archaea, bacteria and eukarya as well as chloroplasts and mitochondria. Its best characterised activity is the generation of mature 5'-ends of tRNAs by cleaving the 5'-leader elements of precursor-tRNAs. Cellular RNase Ps are ribonucleoproteins. The record is from RNAcentral. Lineage: Bacteria; Pseudomonadati; Pseudomonadota; Betaproteobacteria; Burkholderiales; Alcaligenaceae.
GGGGCAGAUUGGGCAAUCGCGGUGCCCUCGGGCAUCGAGGAAGGUCCGGACUCCACAGGACAGGAUAGCGGCUAACAGCCGUCCGGUGAACCCUUAGGGGUAAGCCGAGGACCAGGGCCACAGAGACGAGUCUGCCAUGGGGGUGUGCCUUUGGUACACACAGAUACGGCGACUUCCGUAUUGCAUGAGGGUUUUGCCCUCGUGUCAUGGCAGGGUGAAACGCGGUAACCUCUAUCCGGAGCAACAUCAAAUAGGCAUGCGUAGGCGUUUAGCCAGGAGGGCGGUCCGCUCGAGCAUGCGGGUAGAUGGCUAGAGCAUGCCAGUAAUGGCAUGACCAGAGGAAUGAUUGCCCGCCGGGGUUUCUCCGGUGUACAGAAUCCGGCCUAUAGAUCUGUCUCGCAC